RNAcentral lists this ribosomal RNA (253 nucleotides) under uncultured microorganism. RNAcentral describes it as "partial 16S ribosomal RNA". It matches the Rfam family "Bacterial small subunit ribosomal RNA", at positions 524 to 776 of the family's 1533-position model. The record is from RNAcentral.
UACGUAGGGUGCGAGCGUUAAUCGGAUUUACUGGGCGUAAAGCGUGCGCAGGCGGCCCGUUAAGACAGGUGUGAAAUCCCUGGGCUAAACCUAGGAAUUGCGCUUGUGACUGGCGGGCUCGAGUACGGUAGAGGGGGGUGGAAUUCCUGGUGUAGCAGUGAAAUGCGUAGAGAUCAGGAGGAACACCGAUGGCGAAGGCAGCCCCCUGGGCCUGUACUGACGCUCAUGCACGAAAGCGUGGGGAGCAAACAGG